AACUGGCUUAGAAUAGACCUUUUGAUUCUUACAGUUCACAUUAUAAGUCUAACAAUUACACUGAUGUCUGAAGUCACCAGUAUUACCAGCACUUCUUUCUGCUGACUGUCUGUAUCUGGGAGAAUCAACCUUCUAACAGUUUCAAGGAUCAAUAUUUUCACCACAGAAGACUUUCUGACUCAAAGCUAUUUUCUCCUAAUCCACCAUAGGGAAAACCUCUGAAAC
Molecule: long non-coding RNA, 225 nt
Filed under: Fukomys damarensis (Damara mole-rat)
Lineage: Eukaryota; Metazoa; Chordata; Mammalia; Rodentia; Bathyergidae
Description: lncRNA (ENSFDAG00000025889.1)
Source: RNAcentral